UACGUAGGUGGCAAGCGUUAUCCGGAUUUACUGGGUGUAAAGGGUGCGCAGGCGGGACUGCAAGUUGGAUGUGAAAAUCCGAAGCUCAACUUCGGACCUGCAUCCAAAACUGUAGUUCUUGAGUGAAGUAGAGGUAGGCGGAAUUCCGAGUGUAGCGGUGAAAUGCGUAGAUAUUCGGAGGAACACCAGUGGCGAAGGCGGCCUACUGGGCUUUAACUGACGCUCAUGCACGAAAGCGUGGGGAG
RNAcentral lists this ribosomal RNA (245 nucleotides) under uncultured Oscillospiraceae bacterium. RNAcentral's name for it is "partial 16S ribosomal RNA". It matches the Rfam family "Bacterial small subunit ribosomal RNA", at positions 524 to 768 of the family's 1533-position model. The record is from RNAcentral. Lineage: Bacteria; Bacillati; Bacillota; Clostridia; Eubacteriales; Oscillospiraceae.